GGUCUCUUCUAGAAGUGUCUAUUA
RNAcentral lists this non-coding RNA (24 nucleotides) under Mus musculus (house mouse). The record is from RNAcentral. Lineage: Eukaryota; Metazoa; Chordata; Mammalia; Rodentia; Muridae.